GGCCUACCAUGGUUUUGACGGGUAACGGGGAAUUAGGGUUCGAUUCCGGAGAGGGAGCCUGAGAAACGGCUACCACAUCCAAGGAAGGCAGCAGGCGCGCAAAUUACCCAAUCCCGACACGGGGAGGUAGUGACAAUAAAUAACAAGCCAGGGCCCAUAUGGGUUUUGGCAUUGGAAUGAGUACAAUGUAAAUACCUUAACGAGGAACAAUUGGAGGGCAAGUCUGGUGCCAGCACCCGCGGUAAUUCCAGCUCCAAUAGCGUAUAUUAAAGUUGUUGCAGUUAAAAAGCUCGUAGUUGAAUUUCGGGGUUAGCAGGUCGGUCGUGCCAUCGGUAUGAACUGGUCUCGCUGAUCCCUCCCUCUUGACGAACUGUGAUGCCAUUAAUUUGGUGUUGCAGGGAAUCAGGACUGUUACUUUGAAAAAAUUAGAGUGUUUAAAGCAGGCUCACGCUUGAAUACAUUAGCAUGGAAUAAUGAAAUAGGACGUUUGAUCCUAUUUUGUUGGUUUCUAGGAUUGACGUAAUGAUUAAUAGGGAUAGUUGGGGGCAUUAGUAUUCAAUUGUCAGAGGUGAAAUUCUUGGAUUUAUUGAAGACUAACUACUGCGAAAGCAUUUGCCAAGGAUGUUUUCAUUAAUCAAGAACGAAAGUUAGGGGAUCGAAGACGAUCAGAUACCGUCGUAGUCUUAACCAUAAACUAUGCCGACUAGGGAUCGGAUGAUGUUAAUUUUUUAAUGACUCAUUCGGCGCCUUACGGGAAACCAAAGUGUUUGGGUUC
RNAcentral lists this ribosomal RNA (775 nucleotides) under uncultured Rhizophagus. Its description in RNAcentral is "SSU rRNA". It matches the Rfam family "Eukaryotic small subunit ribosomal RNA", at positions 338 to 1114 of the family's 1831-position model. The record is from RNAcentral. Lineage: Eukaryota; Fungi; Glomeromycota; Glomeromycetes; Glomerales; Glomeraceae.